AGAGUUUGAUCCUGGCUCAGAACGAACGCUGGCGGCGUGUAUAAGACAUGCAAGUCGAGCGAGAUUUUUCGUUGUAGCACUACGAUGGAAAGUCUAGCGGCGAACGGGUGCUUAACACGUGCGCAACCUGCCAUGAAGUGGGGGAUAGCUCGCCGAAAGGCGAAUUAAUACCGCAUGUGAUUAGAGAGGACAUCCUUUCGAAAUUAAAGUCGGGGCAACCUGACGCUUCUUGUGGGGCCCGCGGCCUAUCAGCUAGUUGGUGAGGUAACGGCUCACCAAGGCUUUGACGGGUAGCUGGUCUGAGAGGACGACCAGCCACACUGGGACUGAGACACGGCCCAGACACCUACGGGUGGCAGCAGUCGAGAAUUUUUGACAAUGGGGGAAACCCUGAUCGAGCGACGCCGCGUGGAGGAUGAAGGUCUUCGGAUUGUAAACUCCUGUCAUUUGGGAACAAGGUGCACACGUUAACUGCGUGUGCAUUGAUAGUACCAGAAGAGGAAGAGACGGCUAACUCUGUGCCAGCAGCCGCGGUAAUACAGAGGUCUCAAGCGUUGUUCGGAUUCAUUGGGCGUAAAGGGUGCGUAGGCGGCGCGGUAAGUCGGGUGUGAAAUCUCGGAGCUUAACUCCGAAACUGCAUUCGAUACUGCCGUGCUUGAGGACUGGAGAGGAGACUGGGAUUUACGGUGUAGCGGUGAAAUGCGUAGAUAUCGUAAGGAAGACCAGUGGCGAAGGCGGGUCUCUGGACAGUUCCUGACGCUGAGGCACGAAGGCCAGGGGAGCAAACGGGAUUAGAUACCCCGGUAGUCC
Molecule: ribosomal RNA, 810 nt
Filed under: uncultured bacterium
Lineage: Bacteria
Description: bacterial SSU rRNA
Rfam family: Bacterial small subunit ribosomal RNA
Source: RNAcentral